RNAcentral lists this ribosomal RNA (253 nucleotides) under uncultured bacterium. RNAcentral describes it as "partial 16S ribosomal RNA". It matches the Rfam family "Bacterial small subunit ribosomal RNA", at positions 524 to 776 of the family's 1533-position model. The record is from RNAcentral.
UACAGAGGGUGCAAGCGUUAUUCGGAAUUACUGGGCGUAAAGAGUGCGUAGGCUGUUUAGUAAGUCUGGUGUGAAAUCCCUCGGCUUAACCGGGGAACUGCAUUUGAAACUGCUAAGCUAGAGUAUCGAAGGGGAUGGCGGAAUUUCCAGUGUAGGGGUGAAAUCCGUAGAUAUUGGAAGGAACACCUGUGGCGAAGGCGGCCAUCUGGAAGAUUACUGACGCUGAGGCACGAAAGCGUGGGGAGCAAACAGG